RNAcentral lists this transfer RNA (76 nucleotides) under Candidatus Anoxymicrobium japonicum. Its description in RNAcentral is "Actinobacteria bacterium HGW-Actinobacteria-3 tRNA-Glu". It matches the Rfam family "tRNA". From Rfam's summary of the family: Transfer RNA (tRNA) molecules are approximately 80 nucleotides in length. Their secondary structure includes four short double-helical elements and three loops (D, anti-codon, and T loops). The record is from RNAcentral. Lineage: Bacteria; Bacillati; Actinomycetota; Candidatus Geothermincolia; Candidatus Geothermincolales; Candidatus Anoxymicrobiaceae.
GCCCCCAUCAUCUAGCGGCCCAGGAUACCGCCCUUUCAAGGCGGCGGCACGGGUUCAAAUCCCGUUGGGGGCGCCA